GAUGAACGCUGGCGGCGUGCCUAAUACAUGCAAGUCGAGCGAACGGACGAGAAGCUUGCUUCUCUGAUGUUAGCGGCGGACGGGUGAGUAACACGUGGAUAACCUACCUAUAAGACUGGGAUAACUUCGGGAAACCGGAGCUAAUACCGGAUAAUAUUUUGAACCGCAUGGUUCAAAAGUGGAAGACGGACUUGCUGUCACUUAUAGAUGGAUCCGCGCUGCAUUAGCUAGUUGGUAAGGUAACGGCUUACCAAGGCAACGAUGCAUAGCCGACCUGAGAGGGUGAUCGGCCACACUGGAACUGAGACACGGUCCAGACUCCUACGGGAGGCAGCAGUAGGGAAUCUUCCGCAAUGGGCGAAAGCCUGACGGAGCAACGCCGCGUGAGUGAUGAAGGUCUUCGGAUCGUAAAACUCUGUUAUUAGGGAAGAACAUAUGUGUAAGUAACUGUGCACAUCUUGACGGUACCUAAUCAGAAAGCCACGGCUAACUACGU
RNAcentral lists this ribosomal RNA (496 nucleotides) under uncultured bacterium. Its description in RNAcentral is "partial 16S ribosomal RNA". It matches the Rfam family "Bacterial small subunit ribosomal RNA", at positions 28 to 506 of the family's 1533-position model. The record is from RNAcentral.